Molecule: RNA transcript, 576 nt
Organism: Arachis duranensis
Lineage: Eukaryota; Viridiplantae; Streptophyta; Magnoliopsida; Fabales; Fabaceae
Gene name: NADH dehydrogenase [ubiquinone] 1 beta subcomplex subunit 2
Exons: 6
Source: RefSeq, a predicted model, not a curated record
AAUUACGUGAAUUUCACGGACGACUGUGGUUAUUUACUCGUUUGUGAGAUUCCGUUCUGUACUGAAUCAUUCUAAUUUUCCCAAUUCGCAAAGCGAAGUCGAAAAUGGGGGGAGGCCACGGCGAGGGCACAACCUACAAAGGCAUAACCAUACACCAACCUAAGCGGUGGCACACCGUCGCCGGCAAGGGUCUCUGCGCUGUUAUGUGGUUUUGGGUGUUUUACAGAGCAAAGCAAGAUGGUCCUGUAGUAUUGGGUUGGAGGCACCCUUGGGAGGGCCACGAUGAUCAUGGCCAUGGUGGUGGACACUAGGCCAUUCCAUUCUGGCGCUUCUGUGGUGGUGUUGGGAGGACUGCCCAUGCCGAAAACAGACAUUCCAAUGGACAAGGACCCCUUGAUUUGCUCAAGAAUGUUGAGAGCAAUGCUGAGGUGAAAGGUUUGGAUGUGGAUGCUCUUUACAUUUCCCACAUCCAAGUCAACCAAGCACAAAAACAAAGACGCCGCACCUACCGUGCUCACGGAAGAAUCAAUCCCUACAUGUCAUCUCCCUGCCACAUAGAGUUGAUCUUAUCCGAGA